Acanthosepion pharaonis is the source of this 113-nucleotide non-coding RNA. NCBI's taxonomy places the organism in Eukaryota, Metazoa, Mollusca, Cephalopoda, Sepiida, Sepiidae. The record is from the annotation of a GenBank genome assembly.
UGCAGCCACAUUACAUUGAAACACCAGUCCCUGUAUGAUUACUGAAGUUAAGCAACAUUGAGCCUGGUCAGUGCUUAGAUGGAUAACUGCUUGGGAAUACCAGAUGCUGUAAG